RNAcentral lists this unclassified non-coding RNA (357 nucleotides) under soil metagenome. RNAcentral's name for it is "partial contains 5.8S ribosomal RNA, internal transcribed spacer 2, and large subunit ribosomal RNA". The stretch from base 1 to 120 matches the Rfam family "5.8S ribosomal RNA", at positions 35 to 154 of the family's 154-position model. The record is from RNAcentral.
GAUGAAGAACGCAGUGAAAUGCGAUAAGUAAUGUGAAUUGCAGAAUUCAGUGAAUCAUCGAAUCUUUGAACGCACAUUGCGCCCGUUAGCAUUCUAGCGGGCAUGCCUGUCCGAGCGUCAUUUCAACCCUCAGGGUCCCCGUUCCGGCGGGGAACCUGGUGUUGGGGAUCGGCCCGCCCCGUGCGGCGCCGUCCCCCAAAUUCAGUGGCGGUCUCGCUGCAGCCUCCCCUGCGUAGUAGUUACAACCUCGCAUCGGAGCUCAGCGCGGCCACGCCGUAAAACCCCCGACUUUCUGAACGUUGACCUCGGAUCAGGUAGGAAUACCCGCUGAACUUAAGCAUAUCAAUAAGCGGAGGA